GCGCACCCUCAUCCGAACUCGCGCUAAUGAGUGGGAAUUCAUGCAUCAGUUCUCCUCCGUCCCUUCUUGACGGGCGCUGGUCCGAUAAUGGUCUCGACGCUUGCCUCCUCUGUGUGUCUUGCCUUCCAGUGAGAUCGCCUCCCCCUGUUCUCCGACCCCUCCACUCCCCUGAAACCCUCUUUCGCCUGCGGGAACGACGCGCUAGGGUUUCCUUCGACGGAUUAGAGGGAUUCUUCGAUGUUGCGGCUCCCAUCUUCUUCCGCUCGAUCCGCCGGUUUCUGUGCACGGAACGAGGGUUCCACUUCAGAGAGAUCUGCUUCUUUAUUCGACUAUGCUUGAACUUUUAUUCAAGAAUUUGGCAUUAGGUGGGGUGGUUUAUUGUCGCUCUGGCAUUAUGCCGAAUAGUUGUCUUUGGUUCUACCCAGCUUUCUUGUAAGUCUUCUUGCUUGCUGGAAAGGUUUAUCAAGGAAAAAGCUAGAGAUCAUCAUGACCGCUCAGUUAAUCGGGGGAUGCGGACGUUGCUGAGCAGCAGAAGGGCCGACUGACACCACCAACCCCCGUGUACGGCACCGUUUCCCGACAUCGUCAUCCGGGUGAAGGGAGCGGUGAUCAUUAGCAGUGUAUUGGUAGGAGGUCAGCUAGGUCGAUUGCUGUACCAAGCAGCAAGUCAAACGUUAGUCAAAGUAGUGACUAUAGAUGUCCUCGAAAAUGGUCCAGCCAAUGCAAUGUCCUAUAACAUUUUGUUGGGAGUUUUGAUGAUGGCAAAUCAGUUUGUGAAUUUGGCAAAAGGUGCAGGUUGUUGACUGUAGAGAGUGAGCACUUUGAUGUUGUUACCCUUGAGAAGCUUGUGCAACAAGGGAUAGAUUGUCAAAUUAAAGUUUCUACAAUAAGGAUAAUCCAAGCGAGUUGGUAAUUUAUUUUUAUCAUGGGUCAAGGAAUUUCUUUUGUUUAAACCAGUCUAUCGGCAAUGGGGACAUUGAGUUCCAAGAGUAGGACUUCACGAUGCACAAUUUAUCUGCCAGCCUACAAAGUGCAAGGUGAGUGAAUUGGAGCAUUUUGUUCAGAGGAGAAAAUAGAUUUCCUUUGAAAGAGAGUGGUUUUUAUCUGAUAUACUGGUGAAGAAAUUUCAGGCCUGAGAUUUGUUGGUGCAUUUUGAUUGUUGAAUGACACCUCCAAAAUUUUGUUUUUCUCAUUUUAUAUCUAGAAUUCAAUUGUUAUGAGGAUGAAGAUCGAAUUUGGUCUUAUUUUGGCUCAUGAACUUAGCCACCUGUGUAAUAGAGUGAGGCUGUACAUUCCG
Molecule: non-coding RNA, 1297 nt
Organism: Elaeis guineensis (African oil palm)
Lineage: Eukaryota; Viridiplantae; Streptophyta; Magnoliopsida; Arecales; Arecaceae
Source: RefSeq, a predicted model, not a curated record